UACGAAGGGUGCAAGCGUUACUCGGAAUUACUGGGCGUAAAGCGUGCGCAGGCGGUUUUGUAAGUCUGUCGUGAAAUCCCCGGGCUCAACCUGGGGAAUUCGCGAUGGAGACUGCAAGGCUAGAAUCUGGCAGAGGGGGGUAGAAUUCCACGUGUGGAGCAGUGAAAUGCGUAGAGAUAGUGGGAGGAACACCGAUGGCGAAGGCAGCCCCCCUGGGU
RNAcentral lists this ribosomal RNA (218 nucleotides) under uncultured bacterium. RNAcentral describes it as "partial 16S ribosomal RNA". It matches the Rfam family "Bacterial small subunit ribosomal RNA", at positions 524 to 735 of the family's 1533-position model. The record is from RNAcentral.